Molecule: ribosomal RNA, 344 nt
Filed under: Astathelohania contejeani
Lineage: Eukaryota; Fungi; Microsporidia; Astathelohaniidae
Description: eukaryotic LSU rRNA
Rfam family: Archaeal large subunit ribosomal RNA
Source: RNAcentral
UAUGUGAUGAGGAGAACCCCUUGAACUUAAGCAUAUCAUUAAAGGGAGGAAAAGAAAAUAACAAUGAUUUCUUUAGUAGUGGGGAANGAACAAGAAAGAGNUCAUAUGGUAAGAUACAUAUUUUGUAUCGUUGUAUUGAAGAUAUAUUAUUUGUUAAGAUAUANUGAGAAGUAUAUACCAUAGAGGGUUAUAGUCCCGUGACAGAUAAUUAUGGGAGUAUAUUAGAGUAACUUUAUUUGGUAGUAUAGAGUGAAUAAGGGUAGUAUUAAUUAUCCAAAGCUAAAUAAGUAAUGAUACCGAUAGAGAACAAGUAGUGUGAACGAAAGUGAUGAUAUAAGUAUUAU